AGAAUCAACGCUGGCGGCGUGCCUAACACAUGCAAGUCGAACGAGAAAGUGGGAGCAAUCCCACGAGUAAAGUGGCGCACGGGUGAGUAACACGUGACUAACCUACCCUUGAGUGGGGGAUAACCUAGGGAAACCUGGGCUAAUACCGCAUAAUACCUACGGGUCAAAGGAGCAAUUCGCUUAAGGAGGGGGUCGCGGCAGAUUAGUUAGUUGGCGGGGUAAUGGCCCACCAAGACAGUGAUCUGUA
RNAcentral lists this ribosomal RNA (247 nucleotides) under uncultured bacterium. Its description in RNAcentral is "partial small subunit ribosomal RNA". It matches the Rfam family "Bacterial small subunit ribosomal RNA", at positions 26 to 285 of the family's 1533-position model. The record is from RNAcentral.